This 635-nucleotide ribosomal RNA is filed under the name Lentinus sp. TP5. RNAcentral's name for it is "eukaryotic LSU rRNA". The stretch from base 231 to 384 matches the Rfam family "5.8S ribosomal RNA". Lineage: Eukaryota; Fungi; Basidiomycota; Agaricomycetes; Polyporales; Polyporaceae. The record is from RNAcentral.
AGGGAUCAUUAUCGAGUUUUAAAACGGGUUGUAGGGGGCUUUCCGAGGCAUGUGCACCCCCUUCUCAUCCACUUUACACCUGCGCACUUACUGGGGGUUUCGGGAGUUUNAAAAGCGAAAAAAAGGCCCUCCCCGGGUUUUUUUUUGCCUAGUUGUUACGGGGCCUACGUUUCACCACAAACACUUAUAAAGUAUCAGAAUGUGUAUUGCGAUGUAACGCAUCUAUAUACAACUUUCAGCAACGGAUCUUUUGGCUCUCGCAUCGAUGAAGAACGCAGCGAAAUGCGAUAAGUAAUGUGAAUCGCAGAAUUCAGUGAAUCAUCGAAUUUUUGAACGCCCAUUGCGCUCCUGGGUUUUCCGGGGAGCACCCCUGUUUGAGUCUCAAAAAAUUCUCACCCUAAGGAUUUUUUAACGGGACUUGUUUAGGCUUGGACUGGGAGGUUCUGUUCGGCUGGCUUCAAGGCCAAUUCGGUUCUUCUUAAAUCCAUUAGCUUGGUUCCUGUGGGGAUCGGCCCCCGGUGUGAUAAUGGUUUACGCCGCGCCCGUGGAAGCGUUUUAUAGGCCAGCUUCUAGUCGUCUCUUUACGAGACAAUAAUCAUCGAACUCUGACCUCAAAUCAGUAGAAGCCCGUCCCG